CUAAUAUCAAUUUAUAAGUUAAAAGGUCAUAUUUUUCCUUCAACAAUAUUUUUUUUCUCUUUAGAUUUUGACACCAAAUGUGAAGUAUAAAUAUUAUAAAUUUAUAAUAGACCCAAAGUAGUAAAAACAAUUUAUAGAGAGUGCCAUUCUCCUAAAGGCUAAUUUUAGAAACCUCCCUUGAGGUUUGAUAUAAUUUCAGUUAGAUGAAGAUUAAUUGUAUUAUCACUUACCUCCCCUGCCGUUAGUAUACAUACACAUAUAACGUUAGUAUUUGAGGGCAAAAAUGUAAAAGACAUGCUAAAAAUCUAAAAAAAAUCAAGUAACAAUAAAAAAUUGUUUGAAAUCCAUUGGAUAAUCGUAUUAUCCGAUUACACACAAUAUCUAUUGUAUAAAAAAGUGAAUUUCUCUUUUUCUAUCACAAAAAAAGUAAUGGAGAUUUCUUUCUCUUACAUUAACAAUCAAAGCAUUUUUCACUCCACUCCCUUAUUCCCAGUUGCUAGAACAAAAAGAAAUAAACACAAAGAGCAUAUAUAACACAUGA
RNAcentral lists this long non-coding RNA (541 nucleotides) under Citrus x clementina. RNAcentral describes it as "Citrus clementina (C. clementina) long non-coding RNA (CCLE_LNC000592)". The record is from RNAcentral. Lineage: Eukaryota; Viridiplantae; Streptophyta; Magnoliopsida; Sapindales; Rutaceae.